UACGGGAGGCAGCAGUGGGGAAUAUUGCACAAUGGGCGCAAGCCUGAUGCAGCCAUGCCGCGUGUAUGAAGAAGGCCUUCGGGUUGUAAAGUACUUUCAGCGGGGAGGAAGGCGGUGAAGUUAAUAGCUUCACCGAUUGACGUUACCCGCAGAAGAAGCACCGGCUAACUCCGUGCCAGCAGCCGCGGUAAUACGGAGGGUGCAAGCGUUAAUCGGAAUUACUGGGCGUAAAGCGCACGCAGGCGGUCUGUCAAGUCGGAUGUGAAAUCCCCGGGCUUAACCUGGGAACUGCAUUCGAACUGGCAGGCUAGAGUCUUGUAGAGGGGGUAGAAUUCCAGGUGUAGCGGUGAAAUGCGUAGAGAUCUGGAGGAAUACCGGUGGCGAAGGCGGCCCCUGGGACAAAGACUGACGCUCAGGGUGCGAAAGCGUGGGGAGCAAACGAGGAUUAGGAUACC
This 455-nucleotide ribosomal RNA is filed under the name uncultured bacterium. RNAcentral's name for it is "bacterial SSU rRNA". It matches the Rfam family "Bacterial small subunit ribosomal RNA", at positions 340 to 786 of the family's 1533-position model. The record is from RNAcentral.